RNAcentral lists this long non-coding RNA (1171 nucleotides) under Numida meleagris (helmeted guineafowl). RNAcentral describes it as "lncRNA (ENSNMEG00000020149.1)". The record is from RNAcentral. Lineage: Eukaryota; Metazoa; Chordata; Aves; Galliformes; Numididae.
ACAGAUCAGCUGGUCAAGCUUCCACGUCUCUUCUUGUCUUUGAAGACAGUCAUCAUCCUCGACCACUGAAUUUCUGAGGUGAGUGAGUAGCAAACCAGGAUUACAUCUCAGCUGUGUCUACUGUUUGUUUUUCUUAUAUCACUGCACACUAAUAAUUAAUGACUCUUCCAUGGUUUUCAGGAAUAUUUUACUGUGUAAAAAGCACAUACCUAGUGUACCGAAUGAAUUUGAUCCCAUUGAACUCUACUUCCCUUUAUUUGCUCCUUAUGAUAUAUUCUUUAGAGUCAGAUGGAUCCCCUUAUGCUGAUUGCCAGGGGUUCCCCAUUUGUUUUCUAUUGAUGACUCAUUAUCAGAUUUGCUCAGUUUAUGAGUAAAGAGAUUAUUUUUCUAAGUGAGAAUUCAGCCUAGGCCCUGGAAGACAAGCUGAGCACCCUUCUGCUUCUCACAUUAUCACCACUAAUAAAGAAUCUGCAGUGGGGGACUCAGCUGACAACUUUGUCAAUGAUGCAUGAAGCAGGCUAGAAUCUAGUUGCACUUUCACAGCUGCAGGGGAGCUACAAUAGGAACUGAAGCAUGUUUGUUGUUGGCCUUUUUUUCCAUCACUAAAACAGAGUGGGACAGGAUGACUCAAUAGAAGCCAAGAUAUUGAAGCUAUUUAAGUACCUUUAAGAGAAAUGAAUUAUUUGUUCUAUGAAAAAAGGUCAAAACCUUAACUGUCAUAAGAGUAAAAAAUAAUAUACUGGCAAAAAGAAAACUGCAAACCAACAAGCCCUGCCUCAGAAUUGGUAGUGACUGCCACACAAGGAGAUGGUACAUAGAAGGUGAAGAAAAAAAACCAACAACAAAUGAGAUGUUUCACUUCUUCCUUAGGGAGAUGAACAAGAAUUUGCAGUUCACCUCUCUCUACACUGGGGGAAUGACACAGAAGAAGCACCACUCCUGGUUCCACAGAUGCUGUAACAAGGACUCCGGUGUAUCACUUGGUAAGGAGCAUGUCAGCCUAGAGUGGCUAUUUUCUGACCUGGCCUUAUCCAGAAUGACAGAUUAUUCAGUUGGGAUUUCUCAGAAGAGUCAUCUCUGUUCUCUCAUUUCUUUCCAUCUUUACAUGUCUAUGGAGGGCUCUCUUGAUGCUUUUUCCUUUAUAGAGCUUCAGGUUUUUAACCCUGAUUAA